UUAAAUAUACAUUAUAAUUAUUGACAUGCAUGCAUCAACAUAGGCUUUUAAUUAUUGAGUUAACAAGGUGUGUAGAUGUAAGUAUUGAGAGAGUAAUUACCGUGAUAGAGAUAUCUAAUAGUGGUAUGGAGGAGGAGGAGAUUUGUAGAGGUAAGGAUGGUGUGGUGGAGAGUAGUGGUGUACUGGAGGAGGAGGAGGUGAUUUGUACACGUACUUUUCCUUUGGUGGUGGUGGAGAGUGGUAAACCGGAGGAGGAGAGUAGUGCUUAACCGGAGGAGGAGGGGACUUGUAUACGUAAUGUUUCUUUGGUGGUGGUGGGGAAUGGUAGACUGGAGGGGGAGAGUAGUGCUUAACCGGAGGAGGAGGGGACUUGUAUACGUAAUGUUUCUUUGGUGGUGGUGGGGAAUGGUAAACUGGAGGGGGAGAGUAGUGCUUCACCGGUGGUGGUGGAGAUUUGUACACGUAGUGUUUCUUUGGUGGGGGUGGGGAAUGGUAAACCGGAGGAGGAGAGUAGUGCUUAACUGGAGGAGGAGGAGAUUUGUACACGUAGUGUUUCUUUGGUGGUGGUGGGGAAUGGUAAACCGGAGGAGGAGAGUAGUGCUUAACCGGAGGAGGAGGAGAUUUGUACACGUAGUGUUUCUUUGGGGGUGGUGGGGAAUGGUAAACCGGAGGAGGUGAGUAGUGCUUCACCGGUGGUGGUGGAGAUUUGUAGACGUAAUGCUUUUUAGGUGGGGGUGGGGAAUGGUAAACCGGAGGGGGAGAGUAGUGCUUAACCGGAGGAGGAGGAGACUUGUAAACGUAAUGUUUUUUUGGUGGUGGUGGUGAGUGGUAAACCGGAGGGGGAGAGUAGUGCUUAACCGGAGGAGGAGGAGACUUGUAUACGUAAUGUUUCUUUGGUGGUGGUGGUGAGUGGUAAACCG
Molecule: long non-coding RNA, 920 nt
Filed under: Arabidopsis thaliana (thale cress)
Lineage: Eukaryota; Viridiplantae; Streptophyta; Magnoliopsida; Brassicales; Brassicaceae
Description: long non-coding RNA (ATHA_LNC000278)
Source: RNAcentral